Molecule: long non-coding RNA, 461 nt
Organism: Arabidopsis lyrata subsp. lyrata
Lineage: Eukaryota; Viridiplantae; Streptophyta; Magnoliopsida; Brassicales; Brassicaceae
Exons: 4
Source: RefSeq, a predicted model, not a curated record
UUUCUUCUCUCUUUCUUUUUCUCAAGGCUUUAUUUCAAAAUAAGAUGAUUUAUUCAGGUUUUGGUUGCAUUCAGUGUUGUAUCAACGAUACAACAUUUGGUUCCACAGAAAAGAGACACUGAGGAGAUGGGGGACGCGAUGAAAUCCUUGGAGAACAGAACUUUGGAUUCUAAAAAAGAAAUGGACAUUAUAGCUGCACUUGAUGAAAUGAAAUCAAUGAAGUCUAGACAUACCAUUGUGAGUGUAGUUUGCAUUCAGUGUUGUAUCAACGAUACAUGUUUAAGGGGGACUUAGGAUUUAGGAAUAUAACAAAAAAGCCAACUGCUCUCAGUGGGAGUAAUAUUAAUCAUACAGAAGUCUAAUUACUUAUAGAAGUUUCCUCAUACACUCUAUUGUGAUUCGACUUUGUAAAGCUAUUUUAAUUACGUGUUUUGAAUUAAAACUGAUGUUUUUUGUUUUUA